UUUCACAGUGAAAUUUUCAUUCUUGUUCAAUUUUUAAAUGUUUGUCAACCUUUACCAUUUAUAAAUCAUCAAUCAUUAAUUUAACGAUUUAGUUCAACAUUAGUUUCACUUGUUUCAUUCAAUUGUAACCUUCCACAAUAAACCAAUACAUGAAAAUGCUUUCAAACAAAAUCAAAAUGUUUAUGAAUAUCAAACAAGUAAAUACAUCUACAUAACCAGGUUAUUAUGAACAUUUGUCCACAUCGAUGUUACAUUGAAUUUCAACCCGAAUUUGGUUUUGCAUGAAAAAUGGACAAUAUUAUCAACAAUGAAUGUGUAGUUUAACAGGUUACAAAAAUAUAUUAACCAGUAAAAUAUGUAUUGUUGUCCAGUUGGCUUUUUUUAUUUGCAUCUUUGGACAUUUACAUAGCUUUUUACAUGGAAUCCAAUGUAGCGUGAAAAAUUGUUUACCUUUUUUCGCUAACUCCAAAAAUGGUUUCUGUUUAUGAAUUAUUAUUGAAAUGAGCAGUGAGAAAUUAUGAUUAGUAUAUUGCUACCAAUGUUAUUGUUACAUUUUUAUGUCCACGAGUCACUGAGGUUUUUGUUGAAUUAACUUUACAUUUGUUGUGUUUGGUGAAUGAAGCAAAUUAUAAAUCAAAAUUAUAUGAUCAUGUGUAUAUUGAUUAAUGAAUUAUGAUCAUUUGGUCAUAUCCAAGUGUAAACAAUCUCGAUUGUCCGAUAUUGUACAUUCAGUAAAAAGUUGAGUUGCAACUUCAAUACAAUAAACUUUGUCUCUAUUGUAUUGCAUUUUAUUAAAAUGAUAAUGAUAAAAAUUUCUGAAUCAAAAUUGAAAUGAUUAUUAAAUGUAAAAAAUAUUUAGCAAAUGUAAAUCUAUUCUGAGCAAAGAAUUACAAAUCUUAAUUAGCAAAUCUUCCCUUGACAUUGUCGUUUGUCAGCUAUCGUCUGCAUCUCUUAAAGUCUUACUUUCCCUUUUGAACUUCAACUAGGCAUCAGUUUCAGUUAUAAUUGCUCUUGACUUUAGACAUUUUAGACUAAAUUGUUCAGUAUAUCUGAUUGUCGAAUGUGAUCUGCUGUGUUUUAAAUUGUUUCCUUCAUGUGUUGUAAAGUUAAACGGUUUGCAUUUAAAGUCGUCAUCUUUGGGUUGUAAAAGGAUUAUAUCUCCCAUCUACUUGGUUUUAUUGACUAUUGACUUUCUACCUGUUGCUUAACCUUUUUCCAUUCCAUGUUAUAAGCUUUGAAAUAAUUGUGUCUCACUAACGAGUAAUCUUCAAUGUUCAAGAAAAGCCCGACUGAAAUGCGCUGAGAGAUGAUUUUAUUAAUACAUGAACAAGUUUGCUUUGGUCAAAAUAUAUAGUUUCAUGUUGUAUCUAUUGCAUGGAAUGGCAAUGAAAACGAGGCAAUGUUGAAACAAUUGAUACAUUGAUUGGAAAAUAGCGAAAUAUCACUUUUCUUCACAUUUAAAGUUGGACCACCAUGACCAUCUAUUUUACCUGAAACCUAAAGACGAUAUCUAAAUGUGCGGGAGUAAAUAAGGAUGGUGAUGAUGAAGCAGAAGAAGAAGUAGAAGGAGAUAAGAAUUGAUAAAGUGUAAAGUGAAUUGAGCGACUAUUUAUUGGUUUCUUCUUUCUCUCCACUGGAAUAUGUGAGAAGGUCAAUGAAGCAUAGAAGUAGCAAUGAAGAUGAUGAUAAUGAUGAUGGAAAGAGAAGUAUUUGACUACAAAAAGACGCGUUCAACUAUGAAGUUGUAUUGAAUAGCAUUUUGUUUAUCCGAUUUUGUCAAGGUAAAGAAGGAAAGCCAAAAAAAUGUCUCCAAGCCGUUCCCUGUUUUAACAGGUAAACUUAGCGAUUUCUGGUUCAACUUUGAUAUGAUUUAUACAUUCACCAGUGAGCGUUAUAUUCCUCUCUAUCUUGGAUUCAAAUUUUUUUACUUCUUUACUCAAAAAAAAGUGAAGCAAAGUAGAGUAAUUUAAUUGUAAUGAUGAUGGACCAUACAAGUAAAGCUGAUGCAGAAACGGUAAAUGCAGUGAGAAGAUAAACUUGAACUAAACCAAAUUUAGAGUUGGCGGAGAUAUUUAUUAUUGUUUUGCCUUGUUGUCAACUGAUCCGUUUUAAUCCGCUAAACGAUGACCGAAUUAACGAAAUGAAUAGACCAAUGGAUAAUCCGAUAUAAAAAAAGUUUAACCUUUCAACUUGCGAUCAAAACAAUAUUCAAUCAGAAAAGGUCACAUGAAAGGAGCCAAGUAACCAGACCCUUCCGUUGAUAAACCUCCACAUCAUUCAACCUCAUUGGACCGGAUACAUUGAUCAAAUAAUUAAUAAUCGUGUGGCUUUUCCUCAUCCCAGGUUGUUCAUCUUGUUACCUUUCAUUGGCCUUUAUUGGGUAUUAUUUCAUUAUUAUACCUUUCAUCGAUAUCAUUAUCCUCAUCAAAGGCAACAUCAACAUCGACAUCAUCAUCAGGAGUUAAUAAAGUUGACUGUCAAAAAAAGCAAAAGGAAAAAAGAUUAACUAAAAAUUAACUUCCGAGAAUAAUAUAAUUCGUAUUUAGUUAAAUGUUGAACCCUCCCAGUGUUGAUAAACUUGUAAAAAAAGCGCUAAACGUAAUGAAAAUGAUAAUGAAACGGAAAUCACGUUGAAAUGGGCUAAUCAAUGGGCUCAUGCCAAACGGGUUCCGUUGAUCAUUACAAUAGCUCUUUAGGUCAAUGGGCAUUUACUUUAAUGUUAAAUUAAUUUGAUUCUGUUAACAUUAGCCGAUUAAUUUUUCGCACUUUGAUUCAAUUUGGACCGGGCAAAGUUGCACUAUUUCUGUGCCAACUUGACCAAUCAAAUUGAAUAAAAUGCAGAUUCAUACAAUAUCGCAUUCUUAUUAUUAAAUAUACGAAACAUUUUGAUAAUAAUGAUUGCAUGAGCUUAAAUAAUUUGUUAACUGGUUUAGAUUUAGGUUAUUUUUAUCUGUAAACUUAAUCGGUUAAUGAUGAAUUUUUGUUCCUCAAAUGAUUACACUUUUGCCUAAAUAUUGCAUUAUUUUUCUUCCUAAGCCUUUCAACAUUUAACCAAACGAUCAAUUAACCUGUUGCUAAUCAAAUAAAUGAAUAGUUUAAUUGCACGUUGAUGAUCAAUAACCAUCAACACAAUUGAACGCUUCAUGAUAGUUGACUGGUUCAAUGUUAAACAAACACACAAGUUUCAAAUUAAAAAUGUAUCUUGAAAGGUUUACAAUUAUGAUAAUAAUGAUGGUGAAAAAAAUCAUUUUUAAUAAGUUGAAUUUCUUCUCAUUUGUUGAAUAACAGAGAAAAGGAGAAAGAAAUAUAAUAAACUAAUUAAAAUGAACAUAUUAUUAUUAUUAUAGAUUGUAUUAUUAAACUUGUCAAGAUAAUUUGUUGUUUGGUUAUUAUUUUGUUGAAUGUAUAUUUAUAUGAUUAAAAAAGAAACAAAAGAAAAGGUAAACUCAGGUAAAGUAAUGAAACAAAUUGAUGUUAAAUCAAGUUCAACAACAAGAAGAAACAGCCAAAAAGAUCAUUAUGAUAUUUAUAAAG
Molecule: non-coding RNA, 3534 nt
Organism: Tetranychus urticae (two-spotted spider mite)
Lineage: Eukaryota; Metazoa; Arthropoda; Arachnida; Trombidiformes; Tetranychidae
Source: RefSeq, a predicted model, not a curated record